RNAcentral lists this transfer RNA (68 nucleotides) under Cavia porcellus (domestic guinea pig). It matches the Rfam family "tRNA". Rfam says of the family: Transfer RNA (tRNA) molecules are approximately 80 nucleotides in length. Their secondary structure includes four short double-helical elements and three loops (D, anti-codon, and T loops). Further hydrogen bonds mediate the characteristic L-shaped molecular structure. tRNAs have two regions of fundamental functional importance: the anti-codon, which is responsible for specific mRNA codon recognition, and the 3' end, to which the tRNAs corresponding amino acid is attached (by aminoacyl-tRNA synthetases). tRNAs cope with the degeneracy of the genetic code in two manners: having more than one tRNA (with a specific anti-codon) for a particular amino acid; and 'wobble' base-pairing, i.e. permitting non-standard base-pairing at the 3rd anti-codon position. The record is from Rfam by way of RNAcentral. Lineage: Eukaryota; Metazoa; Chordata; Mammalia; Rodentia; Caviidae.
GGGGAUUUAGCUCAGCGGUAUAAGCACCUGCCUUGCAACUAGGUGGUCGGUUCUGAGUUUAAUCCCCG